This 77-nucleotide transfer RNA is filed under the name Verrucomicrobiota bacterium JB022. Its description in RNAcentral is "tRNA-Val". It matches the Rfam family "tRNA". Rfam says of the family: Transfer RNA (tRNA) molecules are approximately 80 nucleotides in length. Lineage: Bacteria; Pseudomonadati; Verrucomicrobiota. The record is from RNAcentral.
GGGGGAUUAGCUCAGUUGGUUAGAGCGCCAGUAUGACACACUGGAGGUCGGCAGUUCAACUCUGCCAUCUCCCACCA